This 478-nucleotide ribosomal RNA is filed under the name uncultured bacterium. RNAcentral's name for it is "bacterial SSU rRNA". It matches the Rfam family "Bacterial small subunit ribosomal RNA", at positions 29 to 507 of the family's 1533-position model. The record is from RNAcentral.
AUGAACGCUAGCGGCAGGCUUAANACAUGCAAGUCGAGGGGGUAUAGGGAGCUUGCUUCCUAGAGACCGGCGCACGGGUGCGUAACGCGUAUGCAAUCUACCUUUGCAGAGGGAUAGCCCAGAGAAAUUUGGAUUAAUACCUCAUAGUAUAGCAGUUUCGCAUGAAACCACUAUUAAAGUCACAACGGCAAAAGAUGAGUAUGCGUCCCAUUAGCUAGAUGGUAAGGUAACGGCUUACCAUGGCAACGAUGGGUAGGGGUCCUGAGAGGGAGAUCCCCCACACUGGUACUGAGACACGGACCAGACUCCUACGGGAGGCAGCAGUGAGGAAUAUUGGACAAUGGGCGCAAGCCUGAUCCAGCCAUGCCGCGUGCAGGAAGACGGUCCUAUGGAUUGUAAACUGCUUUAUACAGGAAGAAACACUCGGACGUGUCCGAACUUGACGGUACUGUAUGAAUAAGCAUCGGCUAACUCCGUG